CAUCGCCGCGGAGCCUCGGUUGGCCUCGGAUAGCCGGUCCCCCGCCUGUCCCCGCCGGCGGGCCGCCCCGCGGCCGCCCCCUCGCCCGUCACCCCUCGACACAAGGGUUUGUUAAAAAAAAAAGAAAAAAGAAAAAAGAAAAAAAGAAAGGGAAAAAAAUAAUAAUAACAAAAGCAAAUAAGUAAUAAUAAUAAUAAUAAUAAUGAGAUGGGAAAUGUGGCCAUGUGUUUUUCUUGUGCUUUUGCACAUUCUCUCUAGGCUUUGUCUGUGGUCAUGGAAUAAGAAAAGCCUUUUGGUUGCCUUGUUUGGAAUAGGUGCGGCUUUACUUCAUUCUCCACCUGAGAGGGUAGUUUACUGCAUGGGGCAUUUUGUUUGCUGGGAAAAGAAUCCAUGUAUGAAUCAUACCACUUAACAUUUCCCUGCCAGCGCUGUGUGCAUCUUUUGAUGUGACAUAUUUUUGUUUGUUUGUUCUUUUCUAUUUUCGUUGUUCUUCUUCUUAAAAAUGACAACUAACUUUGUUUAAAAAAAAUUGUGUUAAACAAUCUCAAAGUUACAGACACUUUGUAAGAACAGUACAAAGAACAUCCCUUGAACCAGUUGAUAGUAAGUUGACUACCUUGGAUAGUAAGUAUCUCCCCUGGAUACGUUAGUGUGUGUUUCCUAAAAACAGGACAUUCUUUUACAACCAUACUGUUUUUAAACUAUGCAAGUUAACACUGUUGUAUUACAGCAAUUUAAUCCUCAGACCGCAUUCAAGUUUCAUCAAUUGUCCAGUGAAUCCAUCACAGUUAAAGAAUCCACUUGAGAAUCCUUUGUUGCAUUUAGUUGUCAAUGAUUUUAGUCUUCUGUCUGCAGUGGUUAGUUUCUCUAUCUUUCCUUGACUGUU
Molecule: long non-coding RNA, 886 nt
Filed under: Homo sapiens (human)
Lineage: Eukaryota; Metazoa; Chordata; Mammalia; Primates; Hominidae
Description: non-protein coding lnc-GCNT1-4:6
Source: RNAcentral